This 478-nucleotide ribosomal RNA is filed under the name uncultured bacterium. Its description in RNAcentral is "partial 16S ribosomal RNA". It matches the Rfam family "Bacterial small subunit ribosomal RNA", at positions 28 to 505 of the family's 1533-position model. The record is from RNAcentral.
GAUGAACGCUAGCGGCAGGCCUAAUACAUGCAAGUCGAGGGGUAUGGGUUGCUUGCAACCCAGAGACCGGCGCACGGGUGCGUAACGCGUAUGCAAUCUACCUUAAUCAGGGGGAUAGCCCGGAGAAAUCCGGAUUAACACCGCAUAACAUUGAGUUGUGGCAUCACAGUUCAAUCAAAUAUUUAUAGGAUUAAGAUGAGCAUGCGUGACAUUAGUUAGUUGGUGAGGUAACGGCUCACCAAGACCACGAUGUCUAGGGGGUCUGAGAGGAUGACCCCCCACACUGGUACUGAGACACGGACCAGACUCCUACGGGAGGCAGCAGUAAGGAAUAUAGGUCAAUGGGCGCAAGCCUGAACCAGCCAUGCCGCGUGCAGGAAGACGGCCCUAUGGGUUGUAAACUGCUUUGGUACCGAAAUAAACCUUCUCUUGCGAGAGAAGCUGAACGUACGGUAAGAAUAAGGAUCGGCUAACUCCG